GUUUUCUGUUUGUGGCUCCCAGGUCCCUUAUUACUUACAGGAGAAUAACUUUAACCUUUUCUUCUAUCUUGAUACGGGUGUUAAGUAUUCAAAACAUGGUGCCUAAGCACUGUAUGUCAAAACAGUAUCACUGCUGGUCAAUAUUAUUAUCAUGUUAAGUAUAGGGAUAGUGAGAUGCAGUCUUGGUUAUAAACAAGAAGGUGAACGUUUUAGUCUUUUUUGAUGAAUGUGAGAAUGGGGAAAUUGCUGAUAUACUCAUAGCCAGAUUUUUGUUGAGAUGGGAAGCUAUUUUGCUUGCCUGUAUCAAAAUUAAGGGAACUGUUAUUGCAGCAAGAUGGGCUGUUUCUUGCAUUGAAUCAAGUUGUAUGAGAAAGUGUCUAGAAAGUAUGGAAUAAAAACAUUUGUCGAAAUGGAUGAGUGGAAGAGGGAAGUGCAAUUUGUGGAAGGGCUUGGUGAAUUCUGAUUUUGAUCAGGACUGUUGAAGAUUAAUUAUGGCAUUAGUGAGGAGAUCGCAAUAAUUCAAGGUGAUGUGCUGCAAGGUCAAAAUGAAGGUGAUUCAGUCAAGGAAACAAAAUUUAUGAAUUAUAUUGAUUUAAUUUUUCAUUGUAAAA
RNAcentral lists this unclassified non-coding RNA (611 nucleotides) under Hevea brasiliensis (rubber tree). Lineage: Eukaryota; Viridiplantae; Streptophyta; Magnoliopsida; Malpighiales; Euphorbiaceae. The record is from RNAcentral.